UGGUGCUUGCAUCAUGAUUUACAUUUGAGUGAGUGGCGAACUGGUGAGUAACACGUGGGAAACCUGCCCAGAAGCGGGGGAUAACACCUGGAAACAGAUGCUAAUACCGCAUAACAACUUGGACCGCAUGGUCCGAGCUUGAAAGAUGGCUUCGGCUAUCACUUUUGGAUGGUCCCGCGGCGUAUUAGCUAGAUGGUGGGGUAACGGCUCACCAUGGCAAUGAUACGUAGCCGACCUGAGAGGGUAAUCGGCCACAUUGGGACUGAGACACGGCCCAAACUCCUACGGGAGGCAGCAGUAGGGAAUCUUCCACAAUGGACGAAAGUCUGAUGGAGCAACGCCGCGUGAGUGAAGAAGGGUUUCGGCUCGUAAAACUCUGUUGUUAAAGAAGAACAUAUCUGAGAGUAACUGUUCAGGUAUUGACGGUAUUUAACCAGAAAGCCACGGCUAACUACGUGCCAGCAGCCGCGGUAAUACGUAGGUGGCAAGCGUUGUCCGGAUUUAUUGGGCGUAAAGCGAGCGCAGGCGGUUUUUUAAGUCUGAUGUGAAAGCCUUCGGCUCAACCGAAGAAGUGCAUCGGAAACUGGGAAACUUGAGUGCAGAAGAGGACAGUGGAACUCCAUGUGUAGCGGUGAAAUGCGUAGAUAUAUGGAAGAACACCAGUGGCGAAGGCGGCUGUCUGGUCUGUAACUGACGCUGAGGCUCGAAAGUAUGGGUAGCAAACAGGAUUAGAUACCCUGGUAGUCCAUACCGUAAACGAUGAAUGCUAAGUGUUGGAGGGUUUCCGCCCUUCAGUGCUGCAGCUAACGCAUUAAGCAUUCCGCCUGGGGAGUACGGCCGCAAGGCUGAAACUCAAAGGAAUUGACGGGGGCCCGCACAAGCGGUGGAGCAUGUGGUUUAAUUCGAAGCUACGCGAAGAACCUUACCAGGUCUUGACAUACUAUGCAAAUCUAAGAGAUUAGACGUUCCCUUCGGGGACAUGGAUACAGGUGGUGCAUGGUUGUCGUCAGCUCGUGUCGUGAGAUGUUGGGUUAAGUCCCGCAACGAGCGCAACCCUUAUUAUCAGUUGCCAGCAUUAAGUUGGGCACUCUGGNGAGACUGCCGGUGACAAACCGGAGGAAGGGGGGGA
Molecule: ribosomal RNA, 1129 nt
Filed under: Lactiplantibacillus plantarum
Lineage: Bacteria; Bacillati; Bacillota; Bacilli; Lactobacillales; Lactobacillaceae
Description: bacterial SSU rRNA
Rfam family: Bacterial small subunit ribosomal RNA
Source: RNAcentral